Molecule: signal recognition particle RNA, 83 nt
Filed under: Caldisericota bacterium
Lineage: Bacteria; Pseudomonadati; Caldisericota
Description: signal recognition particle sRNA small type
Rfam family: Bacterial small signal recognition particle RNA
About the family: The signal recognition particle (SRP) is a universally conserved ribonucleoprotein involved in the co-translational targeting of proteins to membranes. Archaeal SRP consists of a 7S RNA and homologues of the eukaryotic SRP19 and SRP54 proteins. In most bacteria, the SRP consists of a 4.5S RNA and the Ffh protein (a homologue of the eukaryotic SRP54 protein).
Source: RNAcentral
GACGGGGAGAGCGGAGCCCUGUGAACCCCGCCAGGUCCGGGAGGAAGCAACGGUAAGCAGAUCGCUCCGGGUGCCGCAGGGAA